GAUCAUGGCUCAGAUUGAACGCUGGCGGCAGGCUUAACACAUGCAAGUCGAACGGUAACAGGGGAAAGCUUGCUUUCUUGCUGACGAGUGGCGGACGGGUGAGUAAUGCUUGGGAAUCUGGCUUAUGGAGGGGGGAUAACGACGGGAAACUGUCGCUAAUACCGCGUAGAAUCGAGAGAUGAAAGUGUGGGACCGCAAGGCCGCAUGCCAUGAGAUGAGCCCAAGUGGGAUUAGG
Molecule: ribosomal RNA, 235 nt
Filed under: uncultured bacterium
Lineage: Bacteria
Description: partial 16S ribosomal RNA
Rfam family: Bacterial small subunit ribosomal RNA
Source: RNAcentral